AGUUUGAUCCUGGCUCAGGAUGAACGCUAGCUACAGGCUUAACACAUGCAAGUCGAGGGGCAGCAUGGUCUUAGCUUGCUAAGGCCGAUGGCGACCGGCGCACGGGUGAGUAACACGUAUCCAACCUGCCGUCUACUCUUGGACAGCCUUCUGAAAGGAAGAUUAAUACAAGAUGGCAUCAUGAGUCCGCAUGUUCACAUGAUUAAAGGUAUUCCGGUAGACGAUGGGGAUGCGUUCCAUUAGAUAGUAGACGGGGUAACGGCCCACCUAGUCUUCGAUGGAUAGGGGUUCUGAGAGGAAGGUCCCCCACAUUGGAACUGAGACACGGUCCAAACUCCUACGGGAGGCAGCAGUGAGGAAUAUUGGUCAAUGGGCGCAGGCCUGAACCAGCCAAGUAGCGUGAAGGAUGACUGCCCUAUGGGUUGUAAACUUCUUUUAUAAAGGAAUAAAGUCGGGUAUGUAUACCCGUUUGCAUGUACUUUAUGAAUAAGGAUCGGCUAACUCCGUGCCAGCAGCCGCGGUAAUACGGAGGAUCCGAGCGUUAUCCGGAUUUAUUGGGUUUAAAGGGAGCGUAGAUGGAUGUUUAAGUCAGUUGUGAAAGUUUGCGGCUCAACCGUAAAAUUGCAGUUGAUACUGGAUAUCUUGAGUGCAGUUGAGGCAGGCGGAAUUCGUGGUGUAGCGGUGAAAUGCUUAGAUAUCACGAAGAACUCCGAUUGCGAAGGCAGCCUGCUAAGCUGCAACUGACAUUGAGGCUCGAAAGUGUGGGUAUCAAACAGGAUUAGAUACCCUGGUAGUCCACACGGUAAACGAUGAAUACUCGCUGUUUGCGAUAUACAGCAAGCGGCCAAGCGAAAGCGUUAAGUAUUCCACCUGGGGAGUACGCCGGCAACGGUGAAACUCAAAGGAAUUGACGGGGGCCCGCACAAGCGGAGGAACAUGUGGUUUAAUUCGAUGAUACGCGAGGAACCUUACCCGGGCUUAAAUUGCAGAUGAAUUACGGUGAAAGCCGUAAGCCGUAAGGCAUCUGUGAAGGUGCUGCAUGGUUGUCGUCAGCUCGUGCCGUGAGGUGUCGGCUUAAGUGCCAUAACGAGCGCAACCCUUGUUGUCAGUUACUAACAGGUUCUGCUGAGGACUCUGACAAGACUGCCAUCGUAAGAUGUGAGGAAGGUGGA
Molecule: ribosomal RNA, 1172 nt
Filed under: uncultured Bacteroides sp.
Lineage: Bacteria; Pseudomonadati; Bacteroidota; Bacteroidia; Bacteroidales; Bacteroidaceae
Description: bacterial SSU rRNA
Rfam family: Bacterial small subunit ribosomal RNA
Source: RNAcentral